CAUUACCGUGAAAAAAUUAGAGUGUUCAAAGCAGGCAGAUUCAAUUGUCUGCCACCGAAUACAUUAGCAUGGGAUAAUGGAAUAGGACCCUGUCGUCCUAUGGAACUCAGUGGGUUUUGGCAGCGCGAGUACUAGGAUAAUGAUUAAUAGGGAUAGUUGGGUACAUUAAUAUUUAAGUGUCAGAGGUGAAAAAUUUCCUUGGAUUUUUAUGAAAGAUUUAAAACCUUCUGCCCGGAAAGCAUUUCUGCCAAAGGGAUGUUUUUCAUUUUAAAUCAAGAAAACGAAAGUUUUAGGAGGGGAUCGGAAAGACGAAUCAGUAUUUACCGUCCCGUAGUCCUUAAACCAAUAAACCCGAUGCCGGAACCCAGCGAAAUUUAGGAGGAACGUUGGAAAUACCAAAACACAACCAUCAGCGCGGUCGUCCUGUUCGUUCGCUUUCGGCGGUUUCGGUGUUUUCAACGCCAACGGAGGCGCCGGAGGGGGCGGGUCUUUAGCCCCCGGAUUGGGCACCCGGGGUGGAAAUGGACCUCCCCCUAGGCAGCCUUUUGG
RNAcentral lists this ribosomal RNA (549 nucleotides) under Acanthamoeba sp. RNAcentral's name for it is "partial small subunit ribosomal RNA". The stretch from base 2 to 267 matches the Rfam family "Eukaryotic small subunit ribosomal RNA", at positions 751 to 974 of the family's 1831-position model. Lineage: Eukaryota; Discosea; Longamoebia; Acanthamoebidae. The record is from RNAcentral.